RNAcentral lists this long non-coding RNA (388 nucleotides) under Homo sapiens (human). Its description in RNAcentral is "HSALNT0091356". The record is from RNAcentral. Lineage: Eukaryota; Metazoa; Chordata; Mammalia; Primates; Hominidae.
AAACAAACUUUAUCUUUAUAAACACUUGCACGUAAUACAUGAAAACAUGCUUAUUGUAAAAAUUCAAACAAUGUACAGCAAAAAGUCACGGAAGAAACACAGAGGAGAAAGUCAACACUUCUCUUCAUGUUUUCUCUCUUUAACUCCAUUUGUCCCCUUCUCCUCUCUAAUGACAGGCAUAAUUCAAGAGUGUGGUUUGUGUGUUUUCAAAAUCACUGAAGCAUAUACCUAGAAUUUGGGAACAUAUUUAUUUAGAUAGAGAUAGAAUUAUAAUGUAAUUCUCUAAUGUAAUUCUUAGAACAUUGUUCUAAGACUUUUCUUUCCUCCCUUAAAUAUAUUUGUAGUUUUGUUGGUUGGAAUUUUAAUACUAAAUCCUACUGCUGACCCG